Long non-coding RNA from Lolium rigidum, 632 nucleotides. RefSeq lists it as uncharacterized. The transcript has 3 exons. Lineage: Eukaryota; Viridiplantae; Streptophyta; Magnoliopsida; Poales; Poaceae. The record is from RefSeq and is a predicted model, not a curated record.
AUGAAACCAGACCUUUGAACCUAACUUACUUCGCUGGAGAUAUUCGUGUACUGUGUGAAUCUUAUAUGAAGUUAGAUGCUUCCCGGCAAGUUUUUCUUCCUUCUUCACACAGCACCAAUAUGUUCUAAGCUCUGAUUGUUGAGGGUCACAUCGAAUCUUCAGCUGCAGCUGAGCCGAGGGUGCAGUACCACAUAUUUUGAUUGUUUACCAAGUGUUGGUUUACUAUACUCUUCAGUUCUUCAGAAAUUUUUGAACUCGAGUGAGAUUCUCCGACGAAAAAAGUUAAGGAGACAAUGCUCAGUAUCUACUUCGAUCUCAAUUAUAAAGACAACAUAAUUGUGUGUUGUCAAGUCCAAACCUCUUGAGAUUGAUUUUAUUGUCAUGCAAUACUUAAGGAUCAAGGUUUUUGGUUGAUACAUUAAAAUUCCGCUCUUUUGCUUAUGGUGACAUCCCAUUGUAAAUGGAUCAUUAGGUUUGUUAUGUGCACUACCAUGACAUCCAUCGAUAAUGCUACCAUCUUAUACAAAUUUACUAUUGUCAGUCGAGUUCUGCACAUAGAUCGGCAACAAAGGUGGAGUGCUGGAGCUGAUGGUUGGUGUGAGUGGCACACACAAGAGAAAUGAAUGGAAAUG